RNAcentral lists this long non-coding RNA (2671 nucleotides) under Nicotiana benthamiana. Its description in RNAcentral is "long non-coding RNA (NBEN_LNC020679)". The record is from RNAcentral. Lineage: Eukaryota; Viridiplantae; Streptophyta; Magnoliopsida; Solanales; Solanaceae.
AACAAAGCAUUUUUGAUAUUGAGGAUUUACAUAGCCGACCCCAACUAGCUUGGGAUUGAGGCAUAGUUGUCGUUAUUGUUAAUAGCAAUGUCAACGUAGCUUCACCUGUUGUUUUAUAAUCUUAAUUUUUCCUUGGCUAAAAUUAAGAUCUUUCAAACCCAAAUCUUCAUCUAUCUAAAGACAUUUUUGUCCAUCUCCACCUUACUCUAAAUAUGUUAUCCUUUCUGCUACUACCACUGAUUUUCAGCUUAUAGAGGAAAGACUUCUACAUUAGCCUUAUAUCCUUUUAUUAUUUUCAAUAUUUCCAUGAAUAAGCAAAAGAAUUAAGGAACAUAAUGAGAAAUUUUAAGUAAAGAGCAAGGACAUGGACUUGCAGCUCUUGAAAGGUUGAUUUCAUUACAUUCAUCCACUAAUCAAGAACAUAAAUAGUUAAAAUGCACUACAACCUCUUAUGCAUCACGCUCUAUCUAGGUCCAUUCAAUUCCAAGCAACUUCAAAUCUCAGCUAGAAUGAAGCAACAACAGAGUUCUGAACCUAAAUAAAGAGAGCAAGGUAAACCUUGUGUGUUAAGUUAGUGUUGCUUAACUCAAACACUCUUUUGCAAGUUGGUCCAAUAGCUUGCCUUUAUCAAAUGUGACUUCCUCUCUUUCCUCAAAAUUUAUUGUGUGAAUCAUUAUAUAUUUUGUUUACUCUCGAACUUUCUUCAUAUAUGAUGUGCCUAUAUUUACGUAACAACCAAGAAAUAAGAAAAAGAAUAUAAUAAAUACACAAAAUUGGAAGGUUUAAAACAUACCACCUGUAGCAGAAUCAACAUCCACAGCUUGUCUCUAACACGGUCAUCCUUGCCAACUUCUUCCUGUGCAGAAAUUGCCGGAAUGAUAUGUGAAAAUGUAGAAACACUAUGUAGAAUUGCAAAUAUUGCCAAAACACUAUGCAGAAAUGCAGAAAAAUUGUGUAGAAAUGAAAAAAAUAGCAAAAUGUUGAAAAAAUGCAAAAAAUACAGGAAAACCUGUACAGAAAUGCAAAAUAUAUAGUUUAGAAAUGCAAAAAUUUCUAAAAUGUAGAGAGAAAAUCAAGAAAUAAUAUGCAGAAAAUAUACUGUUCAAAAAAGCAGAAAUAAUGUGUAGAAAUGCCGAAAUACUAUGCAGAAAAUGUAAAAACACUAUGCAUAUUCACAAAAACAAUGAGCAGAAUCGCAGAAAUUGCCGGAACACUUCGCAAAAAUACAGAGAAUGCAGAAAAAUUGUGCAAAAAUGCAAUAACGCUGUGCAAAAUACAAAAACUACAAUUUAUGAGUUGACAUAUAGCAUAACAAUUAAAAGCAUAUAACGCAACUAGUUUUCAAGGAAGAAUAUCCCGAACUAACCUUCGCAAAGGAUAUAAAAUUGUAGGCCAGUUUGCAUGUUAUGAAAUCUUAGGUCACUUUGCACGUCAUAAAAUGUUAUGCCACUUCUCCGAACUAAGAUUAUUAUGCUAACACUUCUUUUUUUAAUUUCCUAAUUAACAACAACAACUACCCAGCAUAAUCCAACAAUGGGGGCUUAAUUUCAUAAUUGUAAAAAUAAUUUAAUCUUCAUAACAAAAGUUAAACCAGGAGCUGAAUUUAUUAGACUACCGGCGACCAACAGAACGUUAUGUGCUUCUUUGGAUCAUUAAAAACCUAAAAUAUGGCAGAGACUUGACUAAAUUAUGAUGAAUCAGAUUUUGCAACCCUACAACGCUGACCAAUGAUUGCUAAAAAGGCUAAACUGCCAGGCUAGAACUGUUAACUUACCUAUAAUAGCCAAGACACGAUUUAUAAAUAAAUGCUAGUGUAAGUACAUACCUGAAUCCGCUAUAAAAGAUAUUUUUUUUCCAAUAAAGAUGAUCUUAUCAAAAUGAGAUUUGAGCAUAUCCUCUUCCAUUGGCCCCUGCAAAUGCUAAAACAGCUGUCUAGCACUUCUCUGCAUGUGUUGAUUCAAACUGAUUUAGGAAAAGCUUUGAGCUCAAGGGAACAACAGAAAACCCCAUCCUAUGAUGCCAUUGAUGUGAAUUAAAAAAAUACCCAUGGAAUAAUCGGUUGAUUUAACACUUGAAAACCCUAAUACAAAGAACAAUCAAAGACACAAAGCCUAAUGAAGAGGACUUUUGGAAAAUCAAUCGAAGAUCACUAUCAACAAACAAUUCCAACAAACAAAUAGUACAAUUUUCAUAUUUUGGCAGUUUUGUUGAGUAUCAAUAACUCCAUUUAAUUUUCAAUAGAAACUAAUCAAAUAAGUUCUUAAUUAGGCUUAGACUUGAAGUCCAAUUCAAGAAAUAACGACACAUCAACAAAAUAUCCAGAAGAAUCAAAGGGGUUUAAGCAGUAGAUAAAUAUGUAAAGAAGUAAAAUAAUUUUAAUUAAGAAAUCAUACCUUUUGAAUGCUGAAAUUUCUCUUUCUUAGAUGUAGGUAUUGGAUCAAUGGAGAAGAAAAUUCCAGUCGGUGCUGGAUUUGGUAGCAGUGGAACCAGUGGCGUGGUGAUGGCCCAGAUGGAGAUUUAUGGGCCAAUACUAAAUAGAGGGGUAGAAUGAAAAUUUGAGAAAGUAUUAAUUUCUUUUGCCUUUGAAAGUAGGGAAAACUUUCACUCAAUCAAAUAAUGGAGGGAAUUUUUGGAUGAAUUUUUUAUUUUUAUUUUAGAGCACACUUGUUAA